UUGCCAGACUCCUACGGGAGGCAGCAGUGGGGAAUAUUGCACAAUGGGGGAAACCCUGAUGCAGCAACGCCGCGUGGGUGAAGGAGCGUUUCGGCGCGUAAAGCCCUGUCAGCGGGGAAGAAGAAAGACGGUACCCGACCAAGAAGCCCCGGCUAACUACGUGCCAGCAGCCGCGGUAAUACGUAGGGGGCAAGCGUUAUCCGGAUUUACUGGGUGUAAAGGGAGCGUAGACGGUAUGGCAAGUCUGAUGUGAAAACCCGGGGCUCAACCCCGGGACUGCAUUGGAAACUGCCGAACUAGAGUGUCGGAGAGGCAAGUGGAAUUCCUAGUGUAGCGGUGAAAUGCGUAGAUAUUAGGAGGAACACCAGUGGCGAAGGCGGCUUGCUGGACGAUGACUGACGUUGAGGCUCGAAAGCGUGGGGAGCAAACAGGAUUAGAUACCCUGGUAA
Molecule: ribosomal RNA, 449 nt
Filed under: uncultured bacterium
Lineage: Bacteria
Description: bacterial SSU rRNA
Rfam family: Bacterial small subunit ribosomal RNA
Source: RNAcentral